AGUGAACGCUGGCGGUAGGCCUAACACAUGCCAGUCGAACGGCAGCACAGGAGAGCUUGCUCUCUGGGUGGCGAGUGGCGGACGGGUGAGGAAUACAUCGGAAUCUACCUUUUCGUGGGGGAUAACGUAGGGAAACUUACGCUAAUACCGCAUACGACCUACGGGUGAAAGUGGGGGACCGCAAGGCCUCACGCGAUUAGAUGAGCCGAUGUCCGAUUAGCUAGUUGGCGGGGUAAUGGCCCACCAAGGCGACGAUCGGUAGCUGGUCUGAGAGGAUGAUCAGCCACACUGGAACUGAGACACGGUCCAGACUCCUACGGGAGGCAGCAGUGGGGAAUAUUGGACAAUGGGCGCAAGCCUGAUCCAGCCAUACCGCGUGGGUGAAGAAGGCCUUCGGGUUGUAAAGCCCUUUUGUUGGGAAAGAAAUCCUGUCGAUUAAUACUCGGUGGGGAUGACGGUACCCAAAGAAUAAGCACCGGCUAACUUCGUG
Molecule: ribosomal RNA, 490 nt
Filed under: uncultured bacterium
Lineage: Bacteria
Description: partial 16S ribosomal RNA
Rfam family: Bacterial small subunit ribosomal RNA
Source: RNAcentral